RNAcentral lists this long non-coding RNA (1352 nucleotides) under Mytilus galloprovincialis (Mediterranean mussel). The record is from RNAcentral. Lineage: Eukaryota; Metazoa; Mollusca; Bivalvia; Mytilida; Mytilidae.
CUCGCAGAAAAAAUGUUUACACCAUAAAAAUAACAGUUUUAAAUAAUUAUAAAGGUGCCAGAACUAGGUGAACAUGAGCCUCCCCUUUCCUACCUUAACCAUAAAAAGGGGGAAGGGGGUAAAAAUACUUUUUUUUUCUUUUUGUAGACGUGUAGUUUCAAGUCUUUUUUUUUUUAUUGUCGAUAGCAUCUCAUUUUCUCUAUUCACUGCUUACUUUUGGAUGUAAAUGUGAAUUAAGAUUUAAAUAAAUGAAAUGAAGCUUUGAAAUGGUCACCUGUAUUAGUCAUCGUAUUACACACUUGUAUACUCUAGUUACUGUACUAGACGUAAAAUAACUUGCUUUAAGGAAAAUGACUUGUUCAUUGAAUUUAACGCAUGGGAAUGUUUUGUGUAUGAAAUACACUAACUACUAUAUACUUAAUGUAACCUUUCAUUUUAAUAUAAACGCGAUUGUUUUCUAUUAAUCACAACACUACUAUACAUAUCACAAUAAUUGUAAACCAUGUUGAGAUAUUUGUAUAGUACAUUUUGCACUUAUACGAUGAAAUGUUUUAAAGAAACAGAAGGGUUGGGUCGGUUAGCAUUGGACAGAGGUAGAGAUAUUUUAAAAGUAAAACAUGAAACUUUCAACAUGUUCAAAUUAAGCGGCUUAUUUGUAACACCUUUCGGAGUCCCCCUUAUCAAUAGUCCGUCACAUAUGUAAUUUAUAGAAACAUGUCUCACCAAAUAAAUUUGUUCAAAUUGUAUCACGGCCAAACAUGAUUAAAAAAAAUAUAUAAUUAAACCUGUGUUUUUCUUCAGAUAAGGUAGGGAAGGUUGACUAGUGUAUAGAAAUAGAUUGACAGGCACAAUUUGAUGGUUUCUAAAAAAAUGAUAUCCAGUUGAAAAAUAAAGUAAGUCGAGCUGAGAGUUACAAAAGUCGAGUUCCGUGUCAUAAAAGUCGAGUUGCGAGUUACGGAAGUCUAGUUGUGAGUUGAUAAAGUCUUGUUGGUAGUUAGAAAAGUAUAAAAUCUUUGAAAUAUAAAUGAUUUAUAUUUAACAAAUAAGUGGACGGGUACGCAGUCUAAAAGCUUUUUUUUCGAGGCGGCAGUCGGAGUAUCUAGACAGAACUGUUAUCAAUAAGGAUAGGAGUCGAAUACAUUUUGCUACGCUUAAAAUUCGAGUGUUGCUGAUCAAUGUUGAAUAAUCCGAUCUCCAAGGGACUCCAAGGCCCUUGGAAAUUAACAAAAAUACGGAAAAUCAGUAUUCUGAUAGUUUUUUUUUUCGAAGCUCUACUUUCGGUAUAUAAAUAAAGUACUAAGACUAGUAACAAUAUCGGCAGAUAAUGCAUUUUGUAUACAAAGGAAUCAACA